CCUACGGGUGGCAGCAGUGAGGAAUAUUGGUCAAUGGGCGCGAGCCUGAACCAGCCAAGUCGCGUGAGGGAAGACGGCCCUACGGGUUGUAAACCUCUUUUGCCGGGGAGCAACGGGCGCCACGUGUGGCGCCACUGAGAGUACCCGGAGAAAAAGCAUCGGCUAACUCCGUGCCAGCAGCCGCGGUAAUACGGAGGAUGCGAGCGUUAUCCGGAUUUAUUGGGUUUAAAGGGUGCGUAGGCGGAGCGUUAAGUCAGUGGUCAAAUUGAGGGGCUCAACCCCUUCCCGCCAUUGAAACUGGCGUUCUUGAGUGGAAGAGAGGUAUGCGGAAGGCGUGGUGUAGCGGUGAAAUGCUUAGAUAGCACGCAGAACCCCGAUUGCGAAGGCAGUUCACUGGACUGCAACUGACACUGAGGCUCGAAAGUGUGGGGAUCAAACAGGAUUAGAUACCCGGGUAGUC
This 460-nucleotide ribosomal RNA is filed under the name uncultured bacterium. Its description in RNAcentral is "partial 16S ribosomal RNA". It matches the Rfam family "Bacterial small subunit ribosomal RNA", at positions 338 to 795 of the family's 1533-position model. The record is from RNAcentral.